GGGUUUAUAGUUUAAUGGUUAAAACAAAUUCAUCAGAAGGAUUAAAUUAAAGGUUCAAACCCUUUUAAACCCA
Molecule: transfer RNA, 73 nt
Filed under: Nuclearia simplex
Lineage: Eukaryota; Rotosphaerida; Nucleariidae
Description: tRNA-Leu
Rfam family: tRNA
About the family: Transfer RNA (tRNA) molecules are approximately 80 nucleotides in length.
Source: RNAcentral